RNAcentral lists this ribosomal RNA (494 nucleotides) under uncultured bacterium. Its description in RNAcentral is "bacterial SSU rRNA". It matches the Rfam family "Bacterial small subunit ribosomal RNA", at positions 28 to 507 of the family's 1533-position model. The record is from RNAcentral.
GAUGAACGCUAGCUACAGGCUUAACACAUGCAAGUCGAGGGGAAACGAUAGAGAAAGCUUGCUUUUUCUAGGCGUCGACCGGCGCACGGGUGAGUAACGCGUAUCCAACCUGCCCAUCACUUGGGGAUAACCUUGCGAAAGUAAGACUAAUACCCAAUGACGUCUCUAGAAGACAUCUGAAGGAGAUUAAAGAUUUAUCGGUGAUGGAUGGGGAUGCGUCUGAUUAGCUUGUUGGCGGGGUAACGGCCCACCAAGGCGACGAUCAGUAGGGGUUCUGAGAGGAAGGCCCCCCACAUUGGAACUGAGACACGGUCCAAACUCCUACGGGAGCAGCAGUGAGGAAUAUUGGUCAAUGGGCGAGAGCCUGAACCAGCCAAGUAGCGUGAAGGAUGAAGGUCCUACGGAUUGUAAAACUUCUUUUAAUACGGGAAUAAAGUAUCCUACGUGUAGGAUUUUGUAUGUACCGUAUGAAUAAGCAUCGGCUAAACUCCGUG